UCUCCGUAGGUGAACCUGCGGAGGGAUCAUUACAGAGAACAUCGCCCGCAAGGGUGACUCUCCAACCCUAUGUUAAAUUCUACCUUUGUUGCUUUGGCGGGCCGCUUCGGCCACCGGCACCACGCUGGUGAGCGCCCGCCAGAGGACCCCAAACUCUGUUUAUACAUGUCGUCUGAGUACUAUACAAUAGUUAAAACUUUCAACAACGGAUCUCUUGGUUCUGGCAUCGAUGGAGAACGCAGC
RNAcentral lists this unclassified non-coding RNA (243 nucleotides) under plant metagenome. RNAcentral describes it as "partial contains small subunit ribosomal RNA, internal transcribed spacer 1, and 5.8S ribosomal RNA". The stretch from base 195 to 243 matches the Rfam family "5.8S ribosomal RNA", at positions 1 to 49 of the family's 154-position model. The record is from RNAcentral.